Long non-coding RNA from Prionailurus viverrinus (fishing cat), 2337 nucleotides. RefSeq lists it as uncharacterized. The record is from RefSeq and is a predicted model, not a curated record. Lineage: Eukaryota; Metazoa; Chordata; Mammalia; Carnivora; Felidae. The transcript has 5 exons.
GGCUGCUGCAGUGGGACUGGGGACAGAUUUGACACACUGCUAUGUCAAAGAGAAGCUGGGUGUUCUAUGGGGACAGCACUACCAUUACCCCGGACCCUUGGGGCUUCUGCCCACACCCCAGAGCUUUGGAGGAUCUCCCAUAUCACACACAUUCACACAGGCACGUGCACACACAUACGGUUCAUUAAAUAACACAGAAGCACCUCUGUCCAGUGGGAUCUGGUGCCUGGUUCUGGCACAGAAUGACCCACAGCCCUAAACAUCCCUGAACGACCAACGCUGUUCAGACCCCAGGGGAACAGUUCUUCCCUCUUGUGCCCUAUCCUUGGAUCGCGUUGGGUGGCCAGAUGUUUUGUGAGUAGCAUAGGGAGAGAUGCUUCUCUAACGGUGAGCAAAUGGGGUGCUGCUCCUCGGGAGUGAGUGGUCUUCACUGUCGCCCAGGUGCCCUUUGGAGGUCCAUCUCACUCUCUCCCAGGAGGCGCUACUCUCCAAAUGGUUCCUUCGAGCACACCCAGCACUCCCUCUGACACAGUACACUUUUCUCCAUCUUCUUCCAUGUCAAGGAUGGGUUAGUACCUCUCUGGAUGGAGGGUCUGGACAGCCCUCCCUAUCCUGCCCCUCCAUCUGGCCCGGGUAUCUUGUAAGGAGAAGUUUGGCAGGAAAUAGAAAAGCAAUCAGGGCCACACAGGAUGAUGGGGAAAUAUUUGUCCUGGCUUGACCGCUUGCUAGCUGUGUGACCUCGGGCCAGUUACUUAACUUCUCUGUGCCUCAAUUUCCCCAUCUGUAAAAUGCGGAUACUGAUGAUUGCUACUUUAUCAGGUUGUUAAGAGGAUUAAAUCAGCGUGCAGUUGUGAAAUGCUUGUUAUAAGAAACAAACUUGCUUCUAAGAGUCGGCCAGUCGUAACACCACUACCAUCAGUGUAUUGACAAGCUGGGGUAGGGAGAAAAGACAGAUUCUUGCAUUACAGAAGUACCUCCAGGGGGCGCCUGGGUGGCUCCGUUGGUUAAGAGUCCGACUGGAUUUUGACUCAGGUCAUGAUAGAGGGUCAUGGGAUUGAGCCCCUUGUCGGUCUCCGUGCUGGGCGUAGAGCCUGGUUAACAUUCUCUCUCCCUCUCCCCCUGCUCCUUUCCCCCAUUUGCUCUCUCUUUCCCUCUCUAAAAUAAAAUUUAAAAAAGAAAAGAAAAAAGAAAUACUUCUGGGAUUUUAGGAUACAUCCCACUUCUAAAGACAUCAAAAUGCAGAAAUAUGUAGAUAGUAGGUUCAAGAAAAUAGAUACUUUCCCCAUUUGGAUGGAUAAGGAAGCAAAUGGCUCAGAGAGGUCAGGUGAACGGUGAGGUUUAGAUGAUUGGGGAAACGCACCCACUGUAAAUGAUUCGGUUCCAAGAAAGCCACUUUAUAAUUGUCUCUCCCUUGAGGCCAGGGCUGAGCUCUGUGCCUGAUGACUAAUCUGUGAGCUUCUACGUGAACGGCCACGAAGAAUACACUGGCAGAGCAAAUGAUCCUAAUUAGGAACUUUGUGUUUGGGCUGAGGAAACACUCAAAAAGAUUUGCUCAAGUUCAGAUCCUGUUCUGUCGUCGUGGACAAUUUAUGUAACCUCUUUGGACUUGGCUUCCCUCAUCUGAAGAACCAGCAGAGUAACACGUGUCUCAGGAGAGCUGUGCAUGAGAUGAAAACGUAUCACUCUCAACAGGGCUCCCUCUCACGCUCUCCAGCCUGCCAGACUUUACACUAGAAGGACACCAUCAGCUCUCCUGGGUCUUGAAUUGGCCAACUCACUCUGCAGAUCCUGGGACUUGCCAACGAUCAUAAUCAUUAUAGGUAAGAAAUGCUCGUAUUGAAGCACUGUCCGCAAGGGCCAAAAGACGGAAACAACCCAGAUGUCCAUCAGAGGAUGAGCAGAGAACAAAAAUGCGGUAUAUCCAUACAGUAGAAUAUGAGUGAGUCAUAAAAAAGAAUGAAGUACUGUAUGGAAACAUAUACCACAAGGGGAAACCUUGAAAUCAUGAUACAUGAAAGAAGUCAAUCACAGAAGACGUAAUCAACUGAAGAUGAGCUCAUUCAUGUGGGCCCUCAUCCACUAUGACUGGCGUCCUUAUAAAAAGAUGUGCGGAGACACACGGGAGAAAGAAUGCCACGUGACUAAAGAGGCAGAGACCACGGUGCUCCAGCCAGAAGCCGAGGAAUGCCUGGGGCCACCAGAAACUGAUCAGGGCCUAGAGGAGCCAGGAGGUCAGAGGUCAGAGGAAGCACGCAGGUCCAACUUCGAGGCGGUACUGCUUCCCUGAUGAGGCAGGAGGGAGGUUGUCCACGCUGACGAUGGGCAGCUGCUGCGGGU